RNAcentral lists this ribosomal RNA (676 nucleotides) under Brevundimonas intermedia. RNAcentral's name for it is "bacterial SSU rRNA". It matches the Rfam family "Bacterial small subunit ribosomal RNA", at positions 66 to 787 of the family's 1533-position model. Lineage: Bacteria; Pseudomonadati; Pseudomonadota; Alphaproteobacteria; Caulobacterales; Caulobacteraceae. The record is from RNAcentral.
ACGAACUCUUCGGAGUUAGUGGCGGACGGGUGAGUAACACGUGGGAACGUGCCUUUUGGUUCGGAAUAACUCAGGGAAACUUGUGCUAAUACCGAAUGUGCCCUUCGGGGGAAAGAUUUAUCGCCAUUAGAGCGGCCCGCGUCUGAUUAGCUAGUUGGUGAGGUAACGGCUCACCAAGGCGACGAUCAGUAGCUGGUCUGAGAGGAUGAUCAGCCACACUGGGACUGAGACACGGCCCAGACUCCUACGGGAGGCAGCAGUGGGGAAUCUUGCGCAAUGGGCGAAAGCCUGACGCAGCCAUGCCGCGUGAAUGAUGAAGGUCUUAGGAUUGUAAAAUUCUUUCACCGGGGACGAUAAUGACGGUACCCGGAGAAGAAGCCCCGGCUAACUUCGUGCCAGCAGCCGCGGUAAUACGAAGGGGGCUAGCGUUGCUCGGAAUUACUGGGCGUAAAGGGCGCGUAGGCGGAUCGUUAAGUCAGGGGUGAAAUCCCGGGGCUCAACCUCGGAAUUGCCCUUGAUACUGGCGAUCUUGAGUAUGAGAGAGGUAUGUGGAACUCCGAGUGUAGAGGUGAAAUUCGUAGAUAUUCGGAAGAACACCAGUGGCGAAAGGCGACAUACUGGCUCAUUACUGACGCUGAGGCGCGAAAGCGUGGGGAGCAAACAGGAUUAGAUACCC